UCGCUUCUGCGGGGUUCGUCAACCGAUACUUAAAAAAUUGAGCCAAUGCCGUUGAAUCGGGAGACCGAUGCCGUUUAUUUGCCGUGCAUUCCUUCAUUGUUUAAGGAUAGCCAGAGGCGACGGCUUCUUUUAAAGGUCACCCACCUGUUUACGCAGGUUCAAUUUACGGCUUCGGUAACGGCUUUUGCGGUAUCUCC
This 197-nucleotide non-coding RNA is filed under the name Pyrinomonadaceae bacterium. RNAcentral describes it as "6S RNA". It matches the Rfam family "6S / SsrS RNA". Rfam says of the family: E. coli 6S RNA was the first non coding RNA to be sequenced, but its function was unknown until recently. Lineage: Bacteria; Pseudomonadati; Acidobacteriota; Blastocatellia; Blastocatellales; Pyrinomonadaceae. The record is from RNAcentral.